Molecule: ribosomal RNA, 161 nt
Filed under: Acinetobacter sp. SR-C
Lineage: Bacteria; Pseudomonadati; Pseudomonadota; Gammaproteobacteria; Moraxellales; Moraxellaceae
Also listed under: 2 other names
Description: partial 16S ribosomal RNA
Rfam family: Bacterial small subunit ribosomal RNA
Source: RNAcentral
UGGGGAAUAUUGGACAAUGGGGGGAACCCUGAUCCAGCCAUGCCGCGUGUGUGAAGAAGGCCUUUUGGUUGUAAAGCACUUUAAGCGAGGAGGAGGCUACCGAGAUUAAUACUCUUGGAUAGUGGACGUUACUCGCAGAAUAAGCACCGGCUAACUCUGUG